This 2190-nucleotide long non-coding RNA is filed under the name Danio rerio (zebrafish). RNAcentral describes it as "lncRNA si:ch211-255f14.2 (ENSDARG00000097262.2)". The record is from RNAcentral. Lineage: Eukaryota; Metazoa; Chordata; Actinopteri; Cypriniformes; Danionidae.
UCUCUCAAGCCACUUUUGUAAAUGAAGCUGUUUUAAAGCAGGUUUGAUUUGGCUCCAACACCCUUGGUGAAGUUACCAUGCUGAAAGGUGAUAGAUUACUUCAAAAGACUGGUCCCCGUGGAAAAAGCGGGCCCUCCCAGAAGAAGUGCCACCCCCACAGUGCGCCCACACACCCCAGGGCUCUGUGGUCCCGUCCGGAGCCCCCGAGCUGAAUCUCAGAAAACAGGACUGCUCUCCAAAGGAAAGAGUCUGUUGAAAAGGCUUGGUGCUGUCAAAUAGUUUCACAUUCGUUCUCAACACAGCAGCCGGGUUUAGGAGAUUGGAAUUAAAGAGAAAGUGAUAGAAGAGGUGGGGAGAAGAAGGAAAACAAUCCCCCAUCAUAGUUUUUUCACAUGCACUGGAUCAAACAUGUAACAUAGAAAGAGAAAUGGUGCAAACUAGGGCUUUCAUGACCACUACGUUGAUGAAACUGUAAACUCUGUUUGCCGUGUUUGAUUAUAAAAAGCACAGAAAUGCUCGCUAAUGUGAGUUAUUAUGAUGUCCUGUCUUAAAAACACAGUAAUCAAAUGCAAUCAAUACUAUAUUAAAAACAACAAUAUUUAUUAUUGUUAUGCUCACUGUUUUGAUUUAAUGUGAUGUCUUAAAUAUCACUGUAAAACAGGGAAAAUUAAAUACAGCUUAUACUUCUAUUUAAUUUGUUAUAAAGAAUAUAUAUAUAUAUAUAUAUAUAUAUAUUCAUUUAUUAUUGUUAUAAUUAACAACAACAAGGUGAAUAUUCAUUUAAAAUGAUAAAUUAUGCUAAUAUUAUAAAUAUAGUUGUACAAGGGAUGUGUGAGAUAAAGAUACACCAUUGAUAUUUAUUAAAUUAGAAGAAUAUUUAAAAGGAUAUAUUUAAGGGAUAUUUAGCUGUUGCCAUUUUUGCACAUUUUAGAUAAUCUAGACCUUUUUUCCACUAUAAGAAGGAUACCCAGCACAAAUGUAUAGGAGUUAGCACAAAUAUGCAAUGGGGAUAUGCAGUAAACCUUCUGUAUAUAUCCACAAACACCAUGAGAGGAAACAAUGUUUUACUUUUCUUUAAUUCAUUUGUUUUUGUUUAUAUUUUUAUUGUUAUUUUAAUUUAUUUUUUAAGUACUAAAUGGUCAUGAAACUCCUAGUGGAAGCGAGUCUCCUCAUAUUUGCCUUACUCAAUGCACAAUGGUUUGUGUUGUGGCUGAGACUGGUCUGUUUUGUGUUGUGUGCAGUCAUGUCGACGAUUCCCUCAUCAAGCAGCACUGUAUUUCAAAUCUGUCUCACCAAGUGUUGUGUUGUUGUUUGCAAUGGUUGUCAUAAGUAGGAAAGGAUAGACUUUCACUUCGUUUAAACAACAACAAAAAAAAAACAUUCAAGUUGUUCAUUUACUUUCGCAUGUAAAUUGUAAUUGAAACAAUUUACAUUAUCAUGCUUUUAUAUACAAUUUACACAAAAGUGCGAUAUGUUUUCAUGAACGAAGACCUUAUUUAGCACAAAUUGACAUGAUUAUUAGCCUCUCAUAAUAUCCAAACCAUUCGAAUAACAUAUCCGUGUAGGAAAUGAUCAGUUGUGAAUGUAUGGCCAAGGAAAACUUUCCCAGUUCAAAACUUUCCUACUGUACUGUAUUUCCUCUCCAGACAUUGCUCGUAUUCAUUUGUUUGUUCAUCAUUUCAUCUUUAUUUUUGCCCUGAACGAACAUGCUAAAGUAGGUUUGCAAGUAUGGACCGAGACUGCCAAAAAAAAAAGGAAUGUAUGAGAAGCAUUCUGUAUAUCUUGUACAAUUUACAGCCAAACUCCAGGUGUUCAAUUCAUCAGAAUAAACGUGUUUUCUUGUCUUUUUUGUUUCUUUUCCGUUUUAAUCAUUUAAUCAUGAGAUAUGUUACGGAGCAUCGCUUCUACAUGUUUGAGUGACUGCUGCUCUUUUUGUACUUUUUGUCCAUUUGUACAUUCUUUUUAAAUGUUUCUACUUGCUUUUCAGACUGCCUUUUUUGUACAUUCAACUUUAUAUUCUGACAGUGGAAGCUUUCCUCACGGUGUCUUCAAACCAUAACGUUUUAAAGUCUGCAAUUGUGUGCUAGCUUUAUGAAAAAGAAUUAUAAGCCUAUAUUGAUGGUUAUCAAAUAUUGUGUGAGUGUGCAUGUGCAGUUUUAUAUCAAAAUAAAUUUGAUAUUUUAUACACAA